AGUUUAAUUUAUCAUUAAAAACGCAGGAUUCAAAAUCCAGUGUCUUCGGACGUGCGGGUUCGAUUCCCGCC
This 71-nucleotide transfer RNA is filed under the name Salinimicrobium nanhaiense. RNAcentral's name for it is "Salinimicrobium sp. CDJ15-81-2 tRNA-Leu". RNAcentral also lists the same sequence under 1 other name. Lineage: Bacteria; Pseudomonadati; Bacteroidota; Flavobacteriia; Flavobacteriales; Flavobacteriaceae. The record is from RNAcentral.